Molecule: non-coding RNA, 250 nt
Organism: Cinara cedri
Lineage: Eukaryota; Metazoa; Arthropoda; Insecta; Hemiptera; Aphididae
Source: the annotation of a GenBank genome assembly
GGGGAACAUUGCUUUCAUUAAAAUUUGGAGCAAAAUUACUGGUAGAAAAGUUAUGCAUAGAAAAAACGGUAGUAAUUUAUUUUUAGCUAAUACACUAUUUUAGCUGUACCUAUAUUUCUUACAUUUUCUUGUUUUUUUUUUGUUUUCAUAUUUAUUAAGAAAACUCCAGGGAAAAUGGAAAAACGACCUUUAAACCAUCUCCCCAAUGAAAUUUCCUUUCAGAAACAUUGCUAUCACUAAAAGUCUGAGC